GAAAUGCGAUAAGUAAUGUGAAUUGCAGAAUUCCGUGAAUCAUCGAAUCUUUGAACGCACAUUGCGCCCGCCAGUAUUCUGGCGGGCAUGCCUGUUCGAGCGUCAUUUCAACCCUCAAGCCCCCGGGCUUGGUGUUGGGGCUCGGCGAGCCUCACGGCAAGCCGGCCCCG
RNAcentral lists this unclassified non-coding RNA (170 nucleotides) under uncultured Ascomycota. Its description in RNAcentral is "sequence contains ITS1". The stretch from base 1 to 105 matches the Rfam family "5.8S ribosomal RNA", at positions 50 to 154 of the family's 154-position model. Rfam says of the family: 5.8S ribosomal RNA (5.8S rRNA) is a component of the large subunit of the eukaryotic ribosome. It is transcribed by RNA polymerase I as part of the 45S precursor that also contains 18S and 28S rRNA. Lineage: Eukaryota; Fungi; Ascomycota. The record is from RNAcentral.